RNAcentral lists this ribosomal RNA (253 nucleotides) under uncultured bacterium. RNAcentral's name for it is "partial 16S ribosomal RNA". It matches the Rfam family "Bacterial small subunit ribosomal RNA", at positions 524 to 776 of the family's 1533-position model. The record is from RNAcentral.
UACGGAGGGCGCAAGCGUUAUCCGGAUUCACUGGGUUUAAAGGGUGCGUAGGCGGCUUAAUAAGUCAUUGGUGAAAGCUCGCAGCUCAACUGCGAAACUGCCAUUGAAACUGUUUAGCUUGAAUGUGGUUGAAGUGGGCGGAAUACAACAUGUAGCGGUGAAAUGCUUAGAUAUGUUUUAGAACACCGAUUGCGAAGGCAGCUCACUAAGCCAAUAUUGACGCUGAGGCACGAAAGCGUGGGGAUCAAACAGG